UACGUAGGGGUGCAAGCGUUUAAUCGGAAUUACUGGGCGUAAAGCGUGCGCAGGCGGUUAUGUAAGACAGGUGUGAAAUCCCCGGGCUUAACCUGGGAACUGCAUUUGUGACUGCAUAGCUAGAGUACGGUAGAGGGGGAUGGAAUUCCGCGUGUAGGCAGUGAAAUGCGUAGAGAUCCGGAGGAACACCAGUGGCGAAGGCGACACGCUGGGCCGUACCUGACACUGAUGCGCGCACA
This 239-nucleotide ribosomal RNA is filed under the name uncultured bacterium. Its description in RNAcentral is "partial 16S ribosomal RNA". It matches the Rfam family "Bacterial small subunit ribosomal RNA", at positions 524 to 759 of the family's 1533-position model. The record is from RNAcentral.